AUAUCAAUAAGCGGAGGAAAAGAAACCAACAGGGAUUGCCUCAGUAACGGCGAGUGAAGCGGCAACAGCUCAAAUUUGAAAUCUGGAGCCUUCGGCUUCCGAGUUGUAAUUUGAAGAGGAUGUUUCGGUUGCGGCUUGGGCCUAAGUUCCUUGGAACAGGACGUCAUGGAGGGUGAGAAUCCCGUAAAUGGCCCCCGGCUUGCUUCCAUGUGAAGCUCCUUCGAAGAGUCGAGUUGUUUGGGAAUGCAGCUCAAAAUGGGUGGUAAAUUUCAUCUAAAGCUAAAUAUUGGCGGGAGACCGAUAGCGCACAAGUAGAGUGAUCGAAAGAUGAAAAGCACUUUGAAAAGAGGGUUAAAUAGCACGUGAAAUUGUUGAAAGGGAAGCGCUUGUGACCAGACUUGCGCCGGGCAGAUCAUCCGGUGUUCUCACCGGUGCACUCUGCCCGGCUCAGGCCAGCAUCGGUUCUCGUGGGGGGAUAAAGGUCCCGGGAACGUAGCUCCUCCGGGAGUGUUAUAGCCCGGGGCGUAAUGCCCUCGUGGGGACCGAGGUUCGCGCAUCUGCAAGGAUGCUGGCGUAAUGGUCAUCAGCGA
RNAcentral lists this ribosomal RNA (590 nucleotides) under uncultured fungus. RNAcentral describes it as "eukaryotic LSU rRNA". It matches the Rfam family "Eukaryotic large subunit ribosomal RNA", at positions 40 to 647 of the family's 3401-position model. Lineage: Eukaryota; Fungi. The record is from RNAcentral.